GUGCCAGCCGCCGCGGUAAUACGGAGGGUGCAAGCGUUAUCCGGAUUUAUUGGGUUUAAAGGGUGCGCAGGCGGACCAAUUAGUCAGUGGUGAAAUCCCGAGGCUCAACCUCGGAACUGCCAUUGAUACUGUUGGUCUUGAAUACGGUUGAAGUAGGCGGAAUGUAGCAUGUAGCGGUGAAAUGCAUAGAGAUGCUACAGAACACCGAUCGCGAAGGCAGCUUACUAAACCGAUAUUGACGCUCAGGCACGAAAGCGUGGGGAGCGAACAGGAUUAGAUACCCUGGUAGUCCACGCCGUAAACUAUGAUCACUCGUUGUUGGCAAUACACAGUCAGUGACCAAGCGAAAGCGAUAAGUGAUCCACCUGGGGAGUACGAUCGCAAGGUUGAAACUCAAAGAAAUUGACGG
RNAcentral lists this ribosomal RNA (409 nucleotides) under uncultured bacterium. Its description in RNAcentral is "bacterial SSU rRNA". It matches the Rfam family "Bacterial small subunit ribosomal RNA", at positions 505 to 916 of the family's 1533-position model. The record is from RNAcentral.